CUAGGAGAUAGCUGUCAUUUUUGGAACUUCUGAGUCUCUCUGUGCCAGUGGAAGAUGACUGAAGAAGACAGUUUAUGAGAUGGCCUAACACCCAAUAUAGAGGACUAGUGUUCUCAGGAACCAAUUACAAAUGGAUUUUCAUCAAUCUGAACUAUCAGUGUACAGCAGAGAGGAGAGAGAUUAAAGCAAGAAAUCAAGAAAGGAUGCUCAUGAAUAUCAAAGGAAGAAGGUAACAGAAGCCUAAAAGCCUGGGGCAUCUUGGUUAAGAAGGACAACAA
Herpailurus yagouaroundi (jaguarundi) is the source of this 278-nucleotide long non-coding RNA. RefSeq lists it as uncharacterized. The record is from RefSeq and is a predicted model, not a curated record. The transcript has 2 exons. Lineage: Eukaryota; Metazoa; Chordata; Mammalia; Carnivora; Felidae.